This 94-nucleotide ribosomal RNA is filed under the name Prolemur simus (greater bamboo lemur). Lineage: Eukaryota; Metazoa; Chordata; Mammalia; Primates; Lemuridae. The record is from RNAcentral.
UUUAUGGCCAUAACCACCCUGAAUGCAACCUGGUCUCAUCUGAUCUCGGCAGCUAAGCAGGGUGAGGCAUGGGUAGUCCUUGGAGGGGAGAAGU